Molecule: small nucleolar RNA, 107 nt
Organism: Gossypium raimondii (Peruvian cotton)
Lineage: Eukaryota; Viridiplantae; Streptophyta; Magnoliopsida; Malvales; Malvaceae
Rfam family: Plant small nucleolar RNA R71
About the family: R71 is a member of the C/D box family of snoRNAs containing the C (UGAUGA) and D (CUGA) box motifs.
Source: Rfam
AUCCCAUGAUGAGGACACUUACGAAAUAAUUCCUUGAAUCUUUCCCACGCUUCAUAGAAAGAUUCGUCAUCCAAUUGUUGGAAAGUAGUUAUUUGAUUUCGCAACUU